GAAAGGAUAAGCAUAUUCCAUAUAUAUCCGAUCUUAUCAGUAAUGCCCCAUGUUUAUGUGAUCAAAGAUAUCUUCAUUUCCAUUACAUGUUCUGCAGCACAACGCCUAAGAACAAAACACACAAGCCAUGUUUCGUUCUUUUAUCUAUUCAAGAUUAAUAUUACAAUACACAUUCACUCACACGCAUAGAUAGACCUUGAUUAUUUUUCAGAUGCUUUCAAAGCCUCACAUAAUAAGACAUCAGAACAUGUAUAUGUAUGCCCUUGCUACUCAACAUCUUUUUCUCUGACCAUUUCCAAGGGGAAAUGAGGAGAUCUCGCAGGGCAAAACACAACCCUGUAGUUUGUCCCACCAGGGCAUGUAAAUGUGCUUGAAGGAUCAUCCUGAGGGUAACUAUAAGCAUCACUGCAUCUGCUUUUGAAAAACUUUGAGAAUUCGGUAGGUCCACAGGUUCCAUAUCCUUCAGUACAACAAUAUUCGUUGGUCUUAAACACUGUGCAAGGAUUGUUACACCCACCAGGAGCCUUCAAUUCUUUAGGGCAUUGCCCAUUAAUGUCAGCAGUGCAGAAAAGUGGACGGCACUUAUCUUUUGCACCAGAAGUUGGACUAAACUCUAUAGGGAUAUUAAACCCGUCAACAAGGGAUAUAUCAUAAAAAUCCAAGUUCCCAAAUUGGUUUAGGGCAUAUUCAGCCAGAGUAUUAGGAGGGACACCCCAACCUUGGCAAGCUAGGAUUCCACCACAAUCCCCUGUUUGGCAAUGACCCUUGCCACUGCCAUCAAAGUUGCAGUUUGUCCGUCCCCAGAUACGAGCCAUGGACGUGCCAGCAGGCACAUUAAGUUCCCAUGUCUGGCCCUGGUCUAGGCGGCGGCCACCACCAGGAGAGGCUGCAGCCCAAACAGUGUAAGGGCAGUUAUUGCGGAUGGUGAAGGUAGCUCCAUCAGAGGAAGUGAAGAAAAGGGCAGAGAGCAGAAAGAUAGAAAUGAGAAAAAUGUUGAAGUUACUCAUGGUUGAUGGAUGGUGGUGGAGUGGUGCGAGGUGUUAGCGGGUCUAUAUAUAGGAGUAGGGCGGCUUUUGGCUUGUUGCAGAUGAUGGCAAGUGUACGCUUUCUAAUAACUAAAGUAGAGGCAGCUAUAAACUGUAGUUUUUCUGCAAAUCUUAAU
RNAcentral lists this unclassified non-coding RNA (1162 nucleotides) under Hevea brasiliensis (rubber tree). Lineage: Eukaryota; Viridiplantae; Streptophyta; Magnoliopsida; Malpighiales; Euphorbiaceae. The record is from RNAcentral.